This 74-nucleotide transfer RNA is filed under the name Bremerella volcania. RNAcentral's name for it is "tRNA-Gly". It matches the Rfam family "tRNA". Rfam says of the family: Transfer RNA (tRNA) molecules are approximately 80 nucleotides in length. Their secondary structure includes four short double-helical elements and three loops (D, anti-codon, and T loops). Further hydrogen bonds mediate the characteristic L-shaped molecular structure. tRNAs have two regions of fundamental functional importance: the anti-codon, which is responsible for specific mRNA codon recognition, and the 3' end, to which the tRNAs corresponding amino acid is attached (by aminoacyl-tRNA synthetases). tRNAs cope with the degeneracy of the genetic code in two manners: having more than one tRNA (with a specific anti-codon) for a particular amino acid; and 'wobble' base-pairing, i.e. permitting non-standard base-pairing at the 3rd anti-codon position. The record is from RNAcentral. Lineage: Bacteria; Pseudomonadati; Planctomycetota; Planctomycetia; Pirellulales; Pirellulaceae.
GUGCUCUUGGCCGAGCGGCAAAGGUUCCAGGCCUCCAACCUGGCGAGGCGGGUUCGAUUCCCGCAGAGCACUCC